GACGAACGCUGGCGGCGUGCCUAACACAUGCAAGUCGAGCGAAAGUAUGCUUCGGUAUACUUUAGCGGCGGACGGGUGAGUAACACGUGGGUAACCUGCCUCAAAGAGGGGGAUAGCCUCCCGAAAGGGAGAUUAAUACCGCAUAAUAUCAGGGUUUCGCAUGGAACUUUGAUUAAAGGAGACGUCAUUUAUGACGCAUCCGCUUUGAGAUGGACCCGCGGCGCAUUAGCUAGUUGGUGAGGUAAAGGCUCACCAAGGCGACGAUGCGUAGCCGACCUGAGAGGGUGAUCGGCCACAUUGGAACUGAGAAACGGUCCAGACUCCUACGGGAGGCAGCAGUGGGGAAUAUUGCACAAUGGGGGAAACCCUGAUGCAGCAACGCCGCGUGAGUGAUGAAGGUCUUCGGAUUGUAAAGCUCUGUCUUUUGGGACGAUAAUGACGGUACCAAAGGAGGAAGCCACGGCUAACUACGUGCCAGCAGCCGCGGUAAUACGUAGGUGGCGAGCGUUGUCCGGAAUUACUGGGCGUAAAGGAUGCGUAGGCGGAUAUUUAAGUCAGAUGUGAAAUACCCGGGCUUAACUUGGGUGCUGCAUUUGAAACUGGAUAUCUAGAGUGCGGG
This 619-nucleotide ribosomal RNA is filed under the name uncultured Eubacteriales bacterium. RNAcentral describes it as "bacterial SSU rRNA". It matches the Rfam family "Bacterial small subunit ribosomal RNA", at positions 28 to 652 of the family's 1533-position model. The record is from RNAcentral. Lineage: Bacteria; Bacillati; Bacillota; Clostridia; Eubacteriales.